RNAcentral lists this ribosomal RNA (301 nucleotides) under uncultured bacterium. Its description in RNAcentral is "partial 16S ribosomal RNA". It matches the Rfam family "Bacterial small subunit ribosomal RNA", at positions 509 to 808 of the family's 1533-position model. The record is from RNAcentral.
CAGUCGCCACGGUAAUACGUAGGUGGCAAGCGUUGUCCGGAAUUAUUGGGCGUAAAGGGCUCGCAGGCGGUUUCUUAAGUCUGAUGUGAAAGCCCCCGGCUCAACCGGGGAGGGUCAUUGGAAACUGGGAAACUUGAGUGCAGAAGAGGAGAGUGGAGUUCCACGUGUAGCGGUGAAAUGCGUAGAGAUGUGGAGGAACACCAGUGGCGAAGGCGACUCUCUGGUCUGUAACUGACGCUGAGGAGCGAAAGCGUGGGGGCGAACAGGAUUAGAUACCCGCGUAGUCCCUGUCUCUUAUACC